Molecule: ribosomal RNA, 475 nt
Filed under: uncultured bacterium
Lineage: Bacteria
Description: partial 16S ribosomal RNA
Rfam family: Bacterial small subunit ribosomal RNA
Source: RNAcentral
AGCGAACGCUGGCGGCAGGCUUAACACAUGCAAGUCGAGCGGGCACUUUCGGGUGUCCGCGGCGGACGGGUGAGUAACGCGUGGGAACGUGCCCUCUGGUUCGGAAUAACUCAGGGAAACUUGAGCUAAUACCGGAUACGCCCUUUUGGGGAAAGGCUUGCUGCCGGAGGAUCGGCCCGCGUCUGAUUAGCUAGUUGGUGAGGUAACGGCUCACCAAGGCGACGAUCAGUAGCUGGUCUGAGAGGAUGAUCAGCCACACUGGGACUGAGACACGGCCCAGGCUUGUAGGGGGGGCAGCAGUGGAAGAGAUGGGCCACGGCGCGGGAGACGGACCGAGCGAUGCCGGGUGUGUGAUGAGGGCUUGUGGUUUGCAAAGCUCUUGGAGCCGAGAACUACAGCGCGCAACGGGAACAAGAACCCCCGGCUACCUGCGUGACGGCAGCCGCGGUAAUAGUCGGAGAGCAAACGUCUGACC